GAAGAGUUUGAUCAUGGCUCAGAUUGAACGCUGGCGGCAGGCCUAACACAUGCAAGUCGAACGGUAACAGGAAGAAGCUUGCUUCUUUGCUGACGAGUGGCGGACGGGUGAGUAAUGUCUGGGAAACUGCCUGAUGGAGGGGGAUAACUACUGGAAACGGUAGCUAAUACCGCAUAACGUCGCAAGACCAAAGAGGGGGACCUUCGGGCCUCUUGCCAUCGGAUGUGCCCAGAUGGGAUUAGCUAGUAGGUGGGGUAACGGCUCACCUAGGCGACGAUCCCUAGCUGGUCUGAGAGGAUGACCAGCCACACUGGAACUGAGACACGGUCCAGACUCCUACGGGAGGCAGCAGUGGGGAAUAUUGCACAAUGGGCGCAAGCCUGAUGCAGCCAUGCCGCGUGUAUGAAGAAGGCCUUCGGGUUGUAAAGUACUUUCAGCGGGGAGGAAGGGAGUAAAGUUAAUACCUUUGCUCAUUGACGUUACCCGCAGAAGAAGCACCGGCUAACUCCGUGCCAGCAGCCGCGGUAAUACGGAGGGUGCAAGCGUUAAUCGGAAUUACUGGGCGUAAAGCGCACGCAGGCGGUUUGUUAAGUCAGAUGUGAAAUCCCCGGGCUCAACCUGGGAACUGCAUCUGAUACUGGCAAGCUUGAGUCUCGUAG
RNAcentral lists this ribosomal RNA (659 nucleotides) under Escherichia coli. Its description in RNAcentral is "bacterial SSU rRNA". It matches the Rfam family "Bacterial small subunit ribosomal RNA", at positions 1 to 654 of the family's 1533-position model. The record is from RNAcentral. Lineage: Bacteria; Pseudomonadati; Pseudomonadota; Gammaproteobacteria; Enterobacterales; Enterobacteriaceae.